ACCUCCGAGGUGUACAGCCAACUCGUCAAUGGCUGGACCCCACGGUCGGUCGCGGGAUGAGCAGCCGCCCCUCUCCCCGGACGGGCCCCUCUCCUCCCCCACUCCCGUCCGUGCUCCCUUCCCCUGCCCUGCCUGGCUUACCACGCAAGAGGGGAACAGAGAGAGACAGAGAGCGCAGCGGCCGGAGGUGUGUUGCGGCACGUACGGAGGAAGCUCGGAGUGUGAUGGUGCGGCGCGGGCGGGUGGAGCUGCGGCGGAUCGAGGACCGGACGAGCCGGCAGGUGCGCUUCUCCAAGCGCCGGUCGGGGCUCUUCAAGAAGGCCUUCGAGCUCGCGCUCCUCUGCGACGCCGAGGUCGCGCUGCUCGUCUUCUCCCCCGCCGGCAAGCUCUACGAGUACUCCUCCUCCUUAAGCAUUGAAGGCACAUAUGACCGCUAUCAGCAAUUUGCGGGAGCCGUAAGGAACACAUAUCAAGGAGGCGCAAGUACCAGCAAUGAUGAAGAUCCUUCAAAUCUACAGUCAAGGCUUAGGGAGAUUACUGCCUGGUCUGUUCACAAUAAUGCUGAUAAUGCAGAUGCCAGUAAUCUAGAGAAACUGGAGAAACUACUGACAGAUGCUAAGAGGGUACUUUAAUGGCCCCGUUGUCACUUGUAGUCCACUUAUAUCGAUGAAAAUCCAGUUUCCAAGUCAUGUUGUAUCGUCAUUCCUUGAAUAAAUGGCUGUGGUUUCUGCCAUCUUUUCACCUGAGCUUUGGCGAAACAAAAUAGCAACAGGAGUGCAACCGGUGAGAACUCCAAUGGACCUACUGGAGAGGGAGGAAACGCUUAAGAAGAGCUUAGGUGACAUGUCCUGUGCAAGCAUUCAGCGCACGAUUAAAACUAUUUCGUGCUGCCGCACAUACAUUUCCCCUCUUCCCCUAUUAUUGGGAAGGAGAUGGUGCAGGCCGCUGCUUAUAAGAUGUAAGUGAGGAGGUGCAACCUCAAUGGAAGCGUAAGGGUAAUACUAAUAACAUGUCUGUGCACCGUGCUAACGGAGACAUGCUUUACCUAUAUGGCUCUGUGUGCUGCUCUGUGCUAUUCUAUCUAUGUAUGCUUGCUCCUGUAGGAGCUGUGAUUUCGUAUUAUUUGCCUGUGUCCAAGCUCAUCUCUUGUGAUAUAUAUGCAACGACAAUAUUUCCAAACUUGAAAUUUCAGUGUGAA
This is an RNA transcript of Brachypodium distachyon (stiff brome), 1198 nucleotides long. It is a transcript of the gene named agamous-like MADS-box protein AGL14-like, with no coding region annotated. The transcript is spliced from 5 exons. Lineage: Eukaryota; Viridiplantae; Streptophyta; Magnoliopsida; Poales; Poaceae. The record is from RefSeq and is marked provisional.